GUGGGGAAUAUUGGACAAUGGGGGGAACCCUGAUCCAGCCAUGCCGCGUGUGUGAAGAAGGCCUUUUGGUUGUAAAGCACUUUAAGUUGGGAGGAAGGGCAGUAAGUUAAUACCUUGCUGUUUUGACGUUACCGACAGAAUAAGCACCGGCUAACUUCGUGCCAGCAGCCGCGGUAAUACGAAGGGUGCAAGCGUUAAUCGGAAUUACUGGGCGUAAAGCGCGCGUAGGUGGUUUUGUAAGUUGGAGGUGAAAUCCCCGGGCUCAACCUGGGAACUGCCUCCAAAACUGCAUGACUAGAGUACGGUAGAGGGUAGUGGAAUUUCCUGUGUAGCGGUGAAAUGCGUAGAUAUAGGAAGGGACACCAGUGGCGAAGGCGACUACCUGGACUGAUACUGACACUGAGGUGCGAAAGCGUGGGGAGCAAACAGGAUUAGAUACCCCUGUAGUCC
RNAcentral lists this ribosomal RNA (450 nucleotides) under uncultured bacterium. RNAcentral's name for it is "partial 16S ribosomal RNA". It matches the Rfam family "Bacterial small subunit ribosomal RNA", at positions 354 to 796 of the family's 1533-position model. The record is from RNAcentral.